UACACAAGAUCCAAAACUCCGUUUACCAUUUGAUGCCCAACGCUACAUUAUUGCAAAACUAUUUCAUUGUUGGCCUGAUAUGUGCUUUGACGUCUCGGUGUGCAAAUUUUGUUGCCGUUUUGUACAACCGGUCGCUUCAUCCUCUUCCUGUUCGACCUAUUGGAUAGAACAAUCACUAUACUCGACCCUCUUCCCCUAUCGGAUGCAUGGAAAAAGAAUCCUUCACAGAAGGACAUAUUUAAGAUUCAAUGUAUUUCAUUCCAUCUAAACAUAGCAUUACAAGAUGCAAUUCCUGGCUGGAAUGAUGAUGUUUUUAGAUGGCGUCGCAUCAUAUCAAUUGGAGUUCCAAAAAACCCAAACAGCAAUAUGUCUGGGUUUUUAGUUUUAAAGAUUAUGCGCACGUGGCAUGAUCAUGAACAUGGAUUACCUGUUGUCCCGGACAAUUAUGACCUACGGAAUCAGGUGUUGGUACACUUGCUGUCGUACAAGGACAAUGAAUGCGUAGAAAAUAUUCCACAAGUCGUGCGUGAUUUGGUGAAGAGAAUUGGGAUAAACUUUUUUUAGUCGGAGAAUCAUAUGUGUUAUUUUAUUACAACAGCGACGAUCAAUUAAGGCGCUUGAGGAUAUUGGUUAUUA
Aegilops tauschii subsp. strangulata is the source of this 636-nucleotide non-coding RNA. NCBI's taxonomy places the organism in Eukaryota, Viridiplantae, Streptophyta, Magnoliopsida, Poales, Poaceae. The record is from RefSeq and is a predicted model, not a curated record.